AUGGCUUUGGAGCUGCGGCUGGCGCCGGCGGCGGAGGAGGAGGAGAGGCGCCUGUCCGAGGAGGACGAGCUACUGUUCCAGGACAUCGCGAGGGAGGUGGGGCGGCUCGGCAUCCGCGAGACCGAGGUUGAGGCCCAGGGGCGGCGCCAGGAGGACGCGGCCGCGGCGGACGGCCUCCUCCCACUUCCGGCGGUUCCUGAGCGCCCUGGGCAGCAGGGGGGCCUGUACCGGCCUCCCUUAUCCGUCACGAGGGUUCUGUCGCUCGUGGUGCAGGAGGCCGGCCCGGUGCCGCCGCCGUUCUCGCCGCCGCCGACGGGGGUACCCGGCGGCCGUAGGGUGCUCGACGAAUGGCACUUCCCGGGCGAUCAUCUCGGCCGCGGUCGCGCCCCUGUCCACCAGAACUUCCGCGCCGCGGGAUCCGUGCCGCCGCGCGCCACCUGGUCUGGCGACGCGUACGCCCGCUCAAGGGCGUUUCCUGGGCGCGCCGCCAGCACACAGCUGGUCGAGGACAUCGUCCUGUUUCUCGCCAAGAACGAGCAAACGGUGCUCAACAUGUUGUUCUGGGGAGCCCCCGAGGACGCGGACGCCGUGGCAGCGGUGAUAGUCCAGCACGCCGUCCCUCUCAUCGAGAGCAGCCACGGGACCCGCCUGCUCGUUGUCGUCCUCAGCCGCUGCAACCAUAUGCUCCAGGAAGCGAUCGUCGCUAGAAUCACUCGAGACCACAAGAAGUUUUUCAAGAUUUGUGCUGCGAGGUCAGGUGAGGUGGUGAGCAUGAUCAAUUCCUGCAUAUCCGAGAAAUCACUGGAGCUUCUGAGAGAUGCAAUCGUGCCAUGGGUGACUCCGUUUAUGAUGGCUCGCCUUGUAACGGAUUCGAGUAGACUCAUGGUGGUGCAUGCCUUGGUGCAGUGUGUUCCUCAUCCAUACUUUGCUGAGUUUAUUUUUGAUGCUGUUGCUACGAACUGCUUAGCACUUGCUAUUCAUCCGCAUGGAGUGUCCCUCCUGCAAAGUUGUCUGGAGCAUGUCGGAUGGACAGAAAAGGAUAAUGUUUUGUCAAAAGUCUCUUGUUGCAGCACCGAUCUUGCUCAAAAUCGUUUUGGAAACUACAUUGUUCAGUACGUACUGAAACAAAGAAACCCAUCGUACUUGGCAAUUAUCGCAUCCCACUUCAGGUCUAAUUAUGUGACACUCUCAAGACAAAGAUAUAGCAGCAAUGUGGUUGAAACGUGCCUACAAGUUUUUAAUGACAGAGAUCGAUCUAACAUUGUUCAUGAAUUGAUUCGGUAUCAUCCCUUCAGAGAUUUAGUGUCAGAUGAGUUUGCUAAUUAUGUCAUCUCUAGAGCCCUUACAACCUGCAAGGUUCCUCUUCGGGAUCGAUUGGCCACUGCUAUCCUUUCCCUUCAAAAUGUCAAUCGCCGUCACCCUCAUUGUCUGAAGAUGUUCAACACACUUUCCGAGCUUGGCUACAGAUAUUGA
RNAcentral lists this ribosomal RNA (1473 nucleotides) under Triticum aestivum (bread wheat). RNAcentral describes it as "partial small subunit ribosomal RNA". Lineage: Eukaryota; Viridiplantae; Streptophyta; Magnoliopsida; Poales; Poaceae. The record is from RNAcentral.